AAAAAAAUGAUAGUAUGAUUCGAGUAGUUCUGCAUAAAUACGAAGUUAAGCAUUUUUCUCUAUAAUUCUGUUGAAUUUCACAAGAAAAAAUGUACUGGCUUACAUGAAGCUUCUAGUUGACCAGAAAUUUACUAUACAACCAGUGGAUUAUGCUUUCCAGCUCACUUUACUCACUCCACAAUGAACUGAAAAAAAAAAUGAAUUAUUAUGUUCUUGAAUGGAAGCCAAUAAGAUCUUUAACUGAUAAGUGAAUGAAGGCUAUCAACAUAACCAUUUCCUAGAUAUUGUGGCAAAGGCGCACUUGCCACCUACUUCAUCUUCAAGAGUUUAGCAGCCCCCGCAUGGUUCCAGACCAGUGAUGGAUGAAUCAAUUGUCUCUCCAAAACUCAGGCAGAGAACGUGGCAAUGAUCAGGCUUAUUAUCAUGAAUACAACAUAGAGUCCUACUAGGCAAAAUCCCCAGAAUCUUGGCACCCGGAACCUAUUCCAAGUAACUAAAAGCAAAGAUCCCAUCAAGCUCAAUAGCAAGAAAACAAAAGCAACCACGAUACUCACGUGGAGAUGAAGCUCAUAAGCUUCUGGAUAUACAUUUGCUGUCUGCAUAACCAAAGCAGUUCCAAGCCCAAAAAGCAUGUUAAACAUUGGCCCAGCAAAACAUCCAGCCAUGGCCAUGGCCGGUUGGCCAGCCUUUGCUACAGCCACGUCUGCAACAAGAUCACCUACUGAGUUUCCCCAUGCAAGCACCGUUAAACCAAGAAAGGCAGCAGGCAGUUUCAGGAGCUCUCCAAGAACGGCAAGACAGUUGAGAAGUUCCCCAGCAACUGUGGAGAUCCAAAAUACACUCAUAACAAAUGCUAUAACAACUGCAGGCAUUUGCUCAGUUUUAGGGGCCUCCUUUUCAACAAUGAAAUGUACAACAGCCAAAGAACACGUAGCACAAAGUACAAUGAACCAAAGAGGCAAAUGGGUGUCUGAGAGAAGGAAAGAGAUUGGAUGAUUUAAUGGCACAAAAGAUUUGCAGGAAAACAGAAGGAGGAGGGGGCAGAGAGCAAUGUUGGAAGAUAAACAGAAUCUAUUCCAUUCAGAAGGUGCAGUCUGUGGUAUGGUGAGCCUAAGGAGCAUCGAGACAGGAAGUUUCCAGAUUAGAGAGACCUUUCCAAAAAGGUGUGAUGAACCCGUAGUAUGCCUAUUUCCAUCUUCUAGAGUACCCAUAACUUUGCCUUUUUCAGAAUCGAACUCAACAAUCCCUAUAUGAACUUCAUCACUUCUAACCAAACCCACCUCACCUCCAAACUUACCCCCCUUCUCUUUGGCACCACCCAUCCCCAAGUCCAUCCAAAAUACAAAUCCAACAAAGAAGAUAUAAAACGCAACAAACCCAAUAGCUUGCCAGAGGAAAAUCUCAGCACUUAAGUAGACAUAAAAAAGAAACAAAGCGGCAGUCAAAUAAAACAUCACAUCCCUCACAAAUGGAGCAGGAUCAACAGCAAAAGGUGCCGCGUAAAUCGCCACGAACCCAACCACAAAAGCAGAGACAAAAGUCCCUGCUGAAAGAAUCGCCCCAAACCCAGUUCUGGCUUGACCUCCCCUAACUGCAGCCACAGAUGCAAAAACAUCAGGCGCACCAUUACCUAAAGCCAAAAGGGUCACUGCACCCAUAGAAGGCGACAACCUAAGAUGCGUAGAAAGCUUAGUAACCACAACAGAAAAGUAAUCUUGGGCAGUCUUGAUAAGGAUGUAGAACUGUAGAAAUACACAGAGGGCGAAAAAUGGGAUGGAAAGAAAUGGGUUUUCUUGGAAGAGACAAUAGUGCAAGGAAAAGUAGUUAAAGAUUCCAUUGGAGUCAGUGAAAUUGCUGGUCGAACACACAAAAUGGUCGGAUUUUUCUUCAAGAAUGGUGGCAUUCAAAAGAAACCUGUGGGGAAUUAGUGGAGAUUUGUGAAUUGGAUUUGAUGAAUAUUGGGGAAGCGGGAGGACGAUGAAGAAGAAGAGGACAGUGAUGA
This 2002-nucleotide unclassified non-coding RNA is filed under the name Hevea brasiliensis (rubber tree). Lineage: Eukaryota; Viridiplantae; Streptophyta; Magnoliopsida; Malpighiales; Euphorbiaceae. The record is from RNAcentral.